This 465-nucleotide ribosomal RNA is filed under the name uncultured bacterium. RNAcentral describes it as "partial 16S ribosomal RNA". It matches the Rfam family "Bacterial small subunit ribosomal RNA", at positions 28 to 507 of the family's 1533-position model. The record is from RNAcentral.
GACGAACGCUGGCGGCGUGCUUAAUACAUGCAAGUCGAACGGAAAGGCCACUUUCUUGGUUCUCUGGUGUCGCACGGGGGAGUAACACUUAAGUAACCUUCCCUUGACUUCGGGAUAACUUCAGGUUACUGGGGCUAAUACUGAAUAGGAAUCCUUUCUUCAUGGGCGGGGUUGGAAAGCGUCGGGCGUUCUGGAUGUAAUCGCUGCUUAGCAGCUUGUUGGUGUGGUUGUUGCUUACCAAGGCGUUGACGGGUAGCCGCACUGGGUGGGCGACCGGCCACAUUGGGACUGAGAUACGGCCGAGACACCGACGGGAGGGAGAAGUGGGGAAUCUUGACCGAUGGGCGGAAGCUGGAUGCAGAAACGCCGCGGGCGGGAUGACGGCCUUAGGGUUGUAAACCGCUUUCAGAAGGGGCGAAGCUUGUGGUGACGGUACCUGCAGAAGAAGCACCGGCUAACUACGUG